Long non-coding RNA from Mastomys coucha (southern multimammate mouse), 493 nucleotides. RefSeq lists it as uncharacterized. NCBI's taxonomy places the organism in Eukaryota, Metazoa, Chordata, Mammalia, Rodentia, Muridae. The record is from RefSeq and is a predicted model, not a curated record. The transcript has 3 exons.
CAUCAUAAGCUAAGGGAUUAUACGACCUGUCUCCCGCUUCGCAGGCUCGGGCUCUGACUUCUCUGGCGUCACUUUCUGUUUACUUCCGGGUUGGCUCCUCAGAUCUUCAGGCUCAGAAUUCCUUUGACUGACUGAGCAGGCUUGGUCAAGUGGUGCCUCAAUGUUGGAGCUCCAGUAAGAGGGAUACAGCAAAGGACACAGUGGGAAGAAGAAGAAGCGCAGAAGAAAAUUUGGGCCAGCUGAAGAAAAUGGAGUUUGGUGUUUGCCAGAAAGGCUGCAACAAAUGGAACAGUCCCAUGUUCCUGCUGAUUCCCUUACUGAUGAUGACGAUUCCUGCACAUGGUGAAGUCCACUGGGCCUGUUACUGAUUCACCACUGAUAUAUCCAGCAGUGUGGUCCAAACCGGAGAUUCCUGUGACCAGUAAUAAUACUCAAUUUCUUGGAUCUCCCUGGGCAGGAGUCAAAUUAUAAUAAGACCAUGACUUUCAAUGCA